GUCCAGGGAUGGGAAUCGAACCCACAGUGUUCCGCUUACCGGGCAGAUGUCAUGUAACUAGGCUACCCUGGA
Non-coding RNA from Cordylochernes scorpioides, 72 nucleotides. Lineage: Eukaryota; Metazoa; Arthropoda; Arachnida; Pseudoscorpiones; Chernetidae. The record is from the annotation of a GenBank genome assembly.